RNAcentral lists this ribosomal RNA (442 nucleotides) under uncultured bacterium. RNAcentral describes it as "partial 16S ribosomal RNA". It matches the Rfam family "Bacterial small subunit ribosomal RNA", at positions 338 to 795 of the family's 1533-position model. The record is from RNAcentral.
CCUACGGGGUGCUGCAGUGGGGAAUAUUGGGCAAUGGGCGCAAGCCUGACCCAGCAACGCCGCGUGAAGGAAGAAGGCUUUCGGGUUGUAAACUUCUUUUGACAGGGAAGAGCAGAAGACGGUACCUGUCGAAUAAGCCACGGCUAACUACGUGCCAGCAGCCGCGGUAAUACGUAGGUGGCAAGCGUUGUCCGGAUUUACUGGGUGUAAAGGGCGUGUAGCCGGGCUGACAAGUCAGAUGUGAAAUCCGGGGGCUCAACCCCCGAACUGCAGUUGAAACUGGUGGGCUUGAGUAUCGGAGAGGCAGGCGGAAUGCCUGGUGUAGCGGUGAAAGGCGGAGAGAUUAGGAGGAACACCAGUGGCGAAGGCGGCCUGCUGGACGAAGACUGACGGUGAGGCGCGAAAGCGUGGGGAGCAAACAGGAUUAGAUACCCGAGUAGUC